UACAGCAGCCAUAUCACCCUGUAGCCCAAGACCGGUUGCCCACUGAAGCUAAGCAGGGUUGAGCUGGUCAGUACCUGGAUGGGAGACCUCCUGGGAAAACUAAGUUGCUGCUGGAA
This is a ribosomal RNA of Sinocyclocheilus grahami, 116 nucleotides long. The record is from Ensembl. NCBI's taxonomy places the organism in Eukaryota, Metazoa, Chordata, Actinopteri, Cypriniformes, Cyprinidae.